GGGCCCGCACAAGCGGUGGAGUAUGUGGUUUAAUUCGACGCAACGCGCAGAACCUUACCCAAUCUUAACAUCCCGUGAACGAUACAGAAAUGUAAUGGUGCCCUUUUGGGAACACGGUGAUAGGUGCUGCAUGGCUGUCGUCAGCUCGUGUCGUGAGAUGUUCGGUUAAGUCCGGUAACGAGCGCAACCCCUAUCCUUAGUUGCCAAUGAUGGAACUCUAAGGAUACUGCCAGUGACAAACUGGAGGAAGGCGGGGACGACGUCAAGUCAUCAUGGCCCUUACGACCAGGGCUACACACGUGCUACAAUGGUAGGUACAGAGGGCAGCUACACAGCGAUGUGAUGCGAAUCUCAAAAAGCCUAUCGUAGUCCAGAUUGGAGUCUGCAACUCGACUCCAUGAAGUAGGAAUCGCUAGUAAUCG
RNAcentral lists this ribosomal RNA (422 nucleotides) under uncultured bacterium. RNAcentral's name for it is "bacterial SSU rRNA". It matches the Rfam family "Bacterial small subunit ribosomal RNA", at positions 917 to 1344 of the family's 1533-position model. The record is from RNAcentral.